GGGUUGUUAAGGAACUCGGCAAAUUGACCCCGUAACUUCGGGAGAAGGGGUGCUGCAGCAAUGCAGCCGCAGAGAAUCGGCCCAAGCAACUGUUUACCAAAAACACAGGUUUGUGCUAAAUCGAAAGAUGACGUAUACGAGCUGACGCCUGCCCGGUGCUGGAAGGUUAAGAGGAGAUGUGCAAGCAUUGAAUCGAAGCCCCAGUGAACGGCGGCCGUAACAAUAACGGUCCUAAGGUAGCGAAAUUCCUUGUCAGGUAAGUUCUGACCCGCAUGAAAGGCGUAAUGAUUUGGGCACUGUCUCAACAGCCCGCCCGGCGAAAUUGUAGUACCGGUGAAGAUGCCGGUUACCCGCGACAAGACGGAAAGACCCCAUGGAGCUUUACUGUAGCCUAAUAUUGGGUUUCGAUGUUGCAUGCACAGGAUAGAUGGGACACUGGGAAGCAGGUGCUUUGGCGCUUGUGGAGUGGCCGUUGGGAUACCAUCCUUGCGAUAUUGGAAUUCUAACCUGCGCCUUUGAAUCAAGGCGGGGGACAUUGUUAGGUGGGCAGUUUGACUGGGGCGGACGCCUCCUAAAGAGUAACGGAGGCGUUCAAAGGUUCGCUCAGCUUGAACGGAAAUCAAGCAAAAGAGCGCAAACGCAGAAGCGAGCCUAACUGCGAGACUGACGGGUCGAGCAGUAACGAAAGUUGGAGUUAGUGAUCCGGUGGUAUGUGAGUGGAAAUGCCAUCGCUCAACGGAUAAAAGUUACCCUGGGGAUAACAGGCUGAUCUCCCCCAAGAGUCCACAUCGACGGGGAGGUUUGGCACCUCGAUGUCGGCUCAUCGCAUCCUGGGGCUGUAUUCGGUCCCAAGGGUUUGGCUGUUCGCCAAUUAAAGCGGUACGCGAGCUGGGUUCAGAACGUCGUGAGACAGUUCGGUCCCUAUCUGUCGUGGGCGCAGGAUAUUUGAUGGGAGCUGUUCCUAGUACGAGAGGACCGGAGCGGACGUACCUCUGGCGCACCAGUUGUUCUGCCAAGAGCAUAGCUGGGCAACUAUGUACGGAUCGGAUAAACGCUGAAAGCAUCUAAGCGUGAAGCCGACCCAAAGAUAAGAUAUCCCAUUGUUUCAAACAAGUAAGACCCCUUGAAGACUACAAGGUUGAUAGGCACGAUGUGUAAGUGGAGCGAUCCAUUCAGCAAGCGUGUACUAAUAGGUCGAGGGCUUGAUC
This 1208-nucleotide ribosomal RNA is filed under the name metagenome. RNAcentral's name for it is "bacterial LSU rRNA". It matches the Rfam family "Bacterial large subunit ribosomal RNA", at positions 1699 to 2925 of the family's 2925-position model. The record is from RNAcentral.